GACGAACGCUGGCGGCGUGCCUAAUACAUGCAAGUAGAACGCUGAAGGAGGAGCUUGCUUCUCUGGAUGAGUUGCGAACGGGUGAGUAACGCGUAGGUAACCUGCCUGGUAGCGGGGGAUAACUAUUGGAAACGAUAGCUAAUACCGCAUAAUAGUAGAUGUUGCAUGACAUUUGCUUAAAAGGUGCAAUUGCAUCACUACCAGAUGGACCUGCGUUGUAUUAGCUAGUUGGUGGGGUAACGGCUCACCAAGGCGACGAUACAUAGCCGACCUGAGAGGGUGAUCGGCCACACUGGGACUGAGACACGGCACAGACUCCUACGGGAGGCAGCAGUAGGGAAUCUUCGGCAAUGGACGGAAGUCUGACCGAGCAACGCCGCGUGAGUGAAGAAGGUUUUCGGAUCGUAAAGCUCUGUUGUAAGAGAAGAACGAGUGUGAGAGUGGAAAGUUCACACUGUGACGGUAUCUUACCAGAAAGGGACGGCUAACUACGUG
RNAcentral lists this ribosomal RNA (495 nucleotides) under uncultured bacterium. RNAcentral's name for it is "partial 16S ribosomal RNA". It matches the Rfam family "Bacterial small subunit ribosomal RNA", at positions 28 to 507 of the family's 1533-position model. The record is from RNAcentral.